GCUGGAUGCGGUGGCACAGUCCUAGCUACUUGGGAGGCUGAGACAGAAGUAUCGCUUGAGUCCAAGAGUUCUGGGCUGUAGUUCUGGGCUGAUUUGGUGUCUGCACUAAGUUCAGUAUCAAUAUGGUGACCUCCCGGGAGCAGGGGGCCACCAGGUUGCCUAAGGAAGGGUAAUCCAGCCCAGGUCAGAAAUGGAGCAGGUCAAAACUCCUGUGCUAAUCAGUAGUGGGAUUGCGCCUGAGAAUAGCCACUGCACUCUUGCCUGGCAACAUAGUGAGACCCCCAUCUCUC
Non-coding RNA from Otolemur garnettii (small-eared galago), 290 nucleotides. The record is from Rfam. Lineage: Eukaryota; Metazoa; Chordata; Mammalia; Primates; Galagidae.